GACGAACGCUGGCGGCGUGCCUAAUACAUGCAAGUUGAGCGCUGAAGGUUGGUACUUGUACCGACUGGCUGAGCAGCGAACGGGUGAGUAACGCGUGGGGAAUCUGCCUUUGAGCGGGGGACAACAUUUGGAAACGAAUGCUAAUACCGCAUAAAAACUUUAAACACAAGUUUUAAGUUUGAAAGAUGCAAUUGCAUCACUCAAAGAUGAUCCCGCGUUGUAUUAGCUAGUUGGUGAGGUAAAGGCUCACCAAGGCGAUGAUACAUAGCCGACCUGAGAGGGUGAUCGGCCACAUUGGGACUGAGACACGGCCCAAACUCCUACGGGAGGCAGCAGUAGGGAAUCUUCGGCAAUAGACGAAAGGCUGACCGAGCAACGCCGCGGGAGUGAAGAAGGUUCUCGGAUCGUAAAACUCUGUUGGUAGAGAAGAACGUUGGUGAGAGUGGAAAGCUCAUCAAGUGACGGUAACUACCCAGAAAGGGACGGCUAACUACGUG
Molecule: ribosomal RNA, 497 nt
Filed under: uncultured bacterium
Lineage: Bacteria
Description: partial 16S ribosomal RNA
Rfam family: Bacterial small subunit ribosomal RNA
Source: RNAcentral